GCAAAAAAAUAGUCGCAAACGACGAAAACUACGCACUAGCAGCUUAAUAACCUGCUCAGAGCUCUCUUACCCUAGCUUCCGCUCGUAAGACGGGGACCAAUAAGAGAUCAAACCCAAACUAGCUAGCGCGGAUUCUCCCACCUGAGAGGAAAAGCGCGAAUUAUAAUUCAGGUUAGCCUUUAACUAGCGUGUCGGUUCGCAGGUUGCUGGUGAAAUUAAAGAUCGACUAAGCAUGUAGUACCAAUGAUGAAUGAUUUUUGGACGCGGGUUCAACUCU
This 277-nucleotide transfer-messenger RNA is filed under the name Vibrio cyclitrophicus ZF207. RNAcentral describes it as "partial transfer-messenger RNA". It matches the Rfam family "transfer-messenger RNA", at positions 79 to 360 of the family's 374-position model. Rfam says of the family: Bacterial tmRNA, also known as 10Sa RNA or SsrA, is named for its dual tRNA and mRNA-like properties. Its role is to liberate the mRNA from a stalled ribosome. The record is from RNAcentral. Lineage: Bacteria; Pseudomonadati; Pseudomonadota; Gammaproteobacteria; Vibrionales; Vibrionaceae.